CGGUGAACACGGAGCUUGCUCUGUGGGAUCAGUGGCGAACGGGUGAKUAACACGUGAGCAACCUGCCCCUGACUCUGGGAUAAGCGCUGGAAACGGCGUCUAAUACUGGAUACGAGUAGCGGCCGCAUGGUCAGUUACUGGAAAGAUUUUUUGGUUGGGGAUGGGCUCGCGGCCUAUCAGCUUGUUGGUGAGGUAAUGGCUCACCAAGGCGUCGACGGGUAGCCGGCCUGAGAGGGUGACCGGCCACACUGGGACUGAGACACGGCCCAGACUCCUACGGGAGGCAGCAGUGGGGAAUAUUGCACAAUGGGCGGAAGCCUGAUGCAGCAACGCCGCGUGAGGGAUGACGGCCUUCGGGUUGUAAACCUCUUUUAGCAGGGAAGAAGCGAAAGUGACGGUACCUGCAGAAAAAGCGCCGGCUAACUACGUGCCAGCAGCCGCGGUAAUACGUAGGGCGCAAGCGUUAUCCGGAAUUAUUGGGCGUAAAGAGCUCGUAGGCGGUUUGUCGCGUCUGCUGUGAAAUCCCGAGGCUCAACCUCGGGCCUGCAGUGGGUACGGGCAGACUAGAGUGCGGUAGGGGAGAUUGGAAUUCCUGGUGUAGCGGUGGAAUGCGCAGAUAUCAGGAGGAACACCGAUGGCGAAGGCAGAUCUCUGGGCCGUAACUGACGCUGAGGAGCGAAAGGGUGGGGAGCAAACAGGCUUAGAUACCCUGGUAGUCCACCCCGUAAACGUUGGGAACUAGUUGUGGGGUCCAUUCCACGGAUUCCGUGACGCAGCUAACGCAUUAAGUUCCCCGCCUGGGGAGUACGGCCGCAAGGCUAAAACUCAAAGGAAUUGACGGGGACCCGCACAAGCGGCGGAGCAUGCGGAUUAAUUCGAUGCAACGCGAAGAACCUUACCAAGGCUUGACAUAUACGAGAACGGGCCAGAAUGGUCAACUCUUUGGACACUCGUAAACAGGUGGUGCAUGGUUGUCGUCAGCUCGUGUCGUGAGAUGUUGGGUUAAGU
RNAcentral lists this ribosomal RNA (1008 nucleotides) under Microbacterium sp. RNAcentral's name for it is "bacterial SSU rRNA". The record is from RNAcentral. Lineage: Bacteria; Bacillati; Actinomycetota; Actinomycetes; Micrococcales; Microbacteriaceae.